AUACGUAGGGGGCAAGCGUUAUCCGGAUUUACUGGGUGUAAAGGGAGCGUAGACGGUAUGGUAAGUCAGAUGUGAAAGGCGGGGGCUCAACCCCCCGGAAUGCAUUUGAAACUAUCAAACUAGAGUGUCGGAGAGGUAAGUGGAAUUCCUAGUGUAGCGGUGAAAUGCGUAGAUAUUAGGAGGAACACCAGUGGCGAAGGCGGCUUACUGGACGAUAACUGACGUUGAGGCUCGAAAGCGGUGGGGAGC
RNAcentral lists this ribosomal RNA (249 nucleotides) under uncultured bacterium. RNAcentral describes it as "partial 16S ribosomal RNA". It matches the Rfam family "Bacterial small subunit ribosomal RNA", at positions 523 to 769 of the family's 1533-position model. The record is from RNAcentral.